AUGCUGCCUGCAGCCUUGCCUAGCCAUGCCCUCGCCAGAUCACCUCCGGCGACCGGCCUGGCCGCCCGCCAUGCACGCCGGCCAGCCGGCCGGCUUGCGACUAAUUCUUUUAGUCCUUUCAACUUUAAAGAUCGCUGCCUCUGCGGGGAUCUCCGUGCUAUUGAUGCAACACCAAUGAGAACAAAGUGGGCGAACAUUUUGUGA
RNAcentral lists this ribosomal RNA (204 nucleotides) under Triticum aestivum (bread wheat). Its description in RNAcentral is "partial small subunit ribosomal RNA". Lineage: Eukaryota; Viridiplantae; Streptophyta; Magnoliopsida; Poales; Poaceae. The record is from RNAcentral.